CCUACGGGGGGCAGCAGUGAGGAAUAUUGGUCAAUGGGCGCGAGCCUGAACCAGCCAAGUAGCGUGAAGGAUGACUGCCCUACGGGUUGUAGACUUCUUUUAUAAAGGAAUAAUGUGAGGCACGUGUCCCUUUCUGUUUGUACUUUAUGAAUAAGGAUCGGCUAACUCCGUGCCAGCAGCCGCGGUAAUUCGGAGGAUCCGAGCGUUAUCCGGAUUUAUUGGGUUUAAAGGGAGCGUAGAUGGGUUGUUAAGUCGGUUGUGAAAGUCUGCGGCUCAACCGUAGAAUUGCAAUUGAUACUGGCAGUCUUGAGUACAGUUGAGGUAGGCGGAAUUCGUGGUGUAGCGGUGAAAUGCUUAGAUAUCAGGAAGAACUCCGAUUGCGAAGGCAGCUUACUAAACUGCGACUGACAUUGAGGCUCGAAAGUGUGGGUAGCAAACAGGAUUAGAUACCCUUGUAGUC
Molecule: ribosomal RNA, 460 nt
Filed under: uncultured bacterium
Lineage: Bacteria
Description: partial 16S ribosomal RNA
Rfam family: Bacterial small subunit ribosomal RNA
Source: RNAcentral